This 500-nucleotide ribosomal RNA is filed under the name uncultured bacterium. Its description in RNAcentral is "partial 16S ribosomal RNA". It matches the Rfam family "Bacterial small subunit ribosomal RNA", at positions 30 to 523 of the family's 1533-position model. The record is from RNAcentral.
AUUGAACGCUGGCGGCAGGCCUAACACAUGCAAGUCGAGCGGAUGACGGGAGCUUGCUCCUUGAUUCAGCGGCGGACGGGUGAGUAAUGCCUAGGAAUCUGCCUGGUAGUGGGGGACAACGUUUCGAAAGGAACGCUAAUACCGCAUACGUCCUGCGGGAGAAAGCAGGGGACCUUCGGGCCUUGCGCUAUCAGAUGAGCCUAGGUCGGAUUAGCUAGUUGGUGGGGUAAUGGCUCACCAAGGCGACGAUCCGUAGCUGGUCUGAGAGGAUGAUCAGUCACACUGGAACUGAGACACGGUCCAGACGCCUACGGGAGGCAGCAGUGGGGAAUAUUGGACAAUGGGCGAAAGCCUGAUCCAGCCAUGCCGCGUGUGUGAAGAAGGUCUUCGGAUUGUAAAGCACUUUAAGUUGGGAGGAAGGGCAGUAAGUUAAUACCUUGCUGUUUUGACGUUACCGGCAGAAUAAGCACCGGCUAACUCUGUGCCAGCAGCCGCGGUAA